RNAcentral lists this ribosomal RNA (538 nucleotides) under Bacillus cereus. RNAcentral describes it as "bacterial SSU rRNA". It matches the Rfam family "Bacterial small subunit ribosomal RNA", at positions 56 to 571 of the family's 1533-position model. Lineage: Bacteria; Bacillati; Bacillota; Bacilli; Caryophanales; Bacillaceae. The record is from RNAcentral.
UGCAAGUCGAGCGAAUGGAUUAAGAGCUUGCUCUUAUGAAGUUAGCGGCGGACGGGUGAGUAACACGUGGGUAACCUGCCCAUAAGACUGGGAUAACUCCGGGAAACCGGGGCUAAUACCGGAUAACAUUUUGAACCGCAUGGUUCGAAAUUGAAAGGCGGCUUCGGCUGUCACUUAUGGAUGGACCCGCGUCGCAUUAGCUAGUUGGUGAGGUAACGGCUCACCAAGGCAACGAUGCGUAGCCGACCUGAGAGGGUGAUCGGCCACACUGGGACUGAGACACGGCCCAGACUCCUACGGGAGGCAGCAGUAGGGAAUCUUCCGCAAUGGACGAAAGUCUGACGGAGCAACGCCGCGUGAGUGAUGAAGGCUUUCGGGUCGUAAAACUCUGUUGUUAGGGAAGAACAAGUGCUAGUUGAAUAAGCUGGCACCUUGACGGUACCUAACCAAAAAGCCACGGCUAACUACGUGCCAACAGCCCGCGGGUAAUACUUAGGUGGCAAGCGUAAUUCAGAAAUUAUUGGCCAUAAUGGGGGGG